AAAAAAUCUGGGCUCAGCUGGCCCAGCUGAUAGUACCCUGUAAGGGCUUCUAAUCCAGGGAUACAGGAUGAGCAGCGUUUGUACUCCAUGUAAGGAGCGGCUGCACAUGGUGUCUGUUCCUCAUGUCAGAGGCGGCCAUUUCUUUUGGAGCUAAGUCGGCCUGCCACUGAGUAGUACUCCCAGUCUUAAUGACAAAGGCAGAUGCAUUCUACUUCACCCAGUCAUGAUCUCAAGCUUUACAAGCUUGAUACCCUAAUAUGAUUGAGUGGAGAUAUGAAAGAAGAAGAAGAAGAAAACAUCUUUCAACAGAUUAUAAGAGAAUUGUUUCCAUAAUCUAACAGAGUGGGCUGGAAUAUUGGAAAUUUCCCCAGGAGAUGAAAAGAAUUGCACAGAGCGGAGUGAAAUGGCUUUCCGUGGAGACAGCUCUGUAUUGGACGGGGCUACAGAAUGAUGAUACAAUGUGUUUCUACACUACUGUAUCUACACUGUAGUAUUUCUAGAGAAAUCUCUACUUUUAACAGUUUUACCUACUCAAUUUAAACAUCCUGGGAGGGUAUUAAAAACCAGCGAUGUGUGGUAUUUACAAUUAGGAGAUUUCAUUAUAGUCAAGUCUCCUUAAUUUGAAAAGUCAACUGUGAUUAAUUGGGACUGGCAGGGAGAAGUCAGAAAGUAAUCAGCAGUUCCAAUUAACAAAUGUUUACUUCAAAGCACCAAACUCUCACAAACUCUUAGAAGACAAAGUAUACUAUUAAUAAUAAACUUCUGUUAAUUGGGGGGAGGAAAAUUGCUAAUUGGAUCCUUUUUAUGUUGUUUUCCAAGAAUACCUCAAAUAAAUACCUCAUUUGAAUGUGGAUUAUAUACAAUAAGACUUAACUGAGGUGAACCCUAAGGAAACUAAACUUUUGGUUCACUCUAAGUAAUGUUUCACUAUAUGUUAUUGCUAAUUUAUUGGGGAUUGUUUUAGGUUCUUUAUAAGGAAAGUUUUGCUAUAUCCCCAGUUAGUUUUAGCAAGGUUUUACUGUAUAUAAAUGUGAUAAGGCACAAUUUGGAUUAUAGAUUAUAAACAUAAAGUAAUAAUACCAAAUCCAAAUAAAUAGUGUGUGAUGUUUCAGUAAGAGCAUUGUUAGCAUUCAGCCACCACAUUCAGUACUUUGGAGGAGACAAGGGAAUAAAAAUGCAAUAUAACAUCGGUAUGGUAGAUUAAACUGGCAAAACCGCUGGGAGGGGUCACUACUGAUGAGUCAAGACCUCCCAUUAAUUUUUCUUUGCAGUAAGGGCAGUAGAAAAUUAUUUUAUUUUUAAAAGAAUCAUAUGCAUCUAUAAUAGUUUAGAAUACUCAUAUCUGAAAUUACCUCCAGCCUUCCUUUGAAUCUUAUUCUAGGCUCCAAACAAUCUACUAUUUGGUGGUAUACACAAUAUCAAAGACCAAGAUCACAAGGACUAAUGUUAGAGAUUAGAGCCACUUUCUUGAUCAUGUAACUAAUAGUUGCUGAUGGUUCACAGCUAUCUAUUGGAAAACAUAUCUACUAUCUAUAAUAUGAUGCACCAGCGCGCCAUCUGUUAUCAAAAUUCAAAACUAUUUUAAACGUGCAUGAUUCUUUUUGAAAUUGAACAAUUUCUACUGCCCUUACUGCUAUGGAAAAAUUAAAAGGGAAGAAGGCCUGUUGUUUCUUUUUAUUAUCCAAAGUUUGUCCCUAUACUCCUUUCUUGAAAAUUAUAUUUGAAAAACCCAUCAAGUUUGUAUUUUAGGCUGUUAGUCCUGAUCAGUGUGGUGCAGGUUGUACGUUGAAGGUCCCCCAAAGGGAGCUUCAUCUCAUUGUUUCAUGAAAAGGGUAUUUAACGGCAAAAAUGUUUGAGCCUGCCAUAAUAUGCUUUAAAAAAUCAUCGGCACAAAACCAUCAUCAGGAUUCAGUUGUUUCCCAUCAGGAGGUGAUCUUCUCCAUUAUCUCAUUUUUUCUUCUCUACCAAUGUUAGAAUAAUUUUUUUUUUAACCUCGCAUUAUAGCAGUCUCUUUUAUAACAGCUAUUUAAAAACACAGAUUAACAAGAAUCAAUAUCCAAAUUAAUAAAAUUGAGUGAGUGACGUUUCAGUAACAGCAUUGUUACCAUCAACAGACAAAAGUACUGAAUGAGAUCAAAAAAUAUAAAUAUGUAUAUCACAGCAUGCUGUUAUAAAUAUUUGGUACUGUGCUAUCAGUUGCUCAAACAAGAAUAGAUAUAAACCAAAUAUUGUACCUUAUCAAGAAGAUAUAUAACUGAUAAGAAUAAACAAAUUAUUUUCUAUGAGAACCCUAUAAUACUAUUUUAAAAACAUGUGAAAAAGAAUAACAGUUACCAACUAUGAUUAGGAACAAUUUGGAUUAUAAACACAAGGUAAUAAGACCAAAUCCAAAUAAAUAAAUAAUGUAUGACGUUUCGGUAACAACGCUGUUACCGAAACAUCACACACUAUUUAUUUAUUUGGAUUUGGUCUUAUUACCUUGAGUUACCAACGAUGAUAAGACACAAUUUAUAUUAUAGAUUAAAAGCAAAAGGCAAUAAGACCAAAUCCAAAUAAAUAAAAUGUUGUUACCCAAAUGUCACACACUAUUUAUUUGGAUUUGGUCUUAUUACCUUGAGUUACCAACUAUUUAAGAACACGCUGGGGUAUUUUUUUCCCCUCAUUCAGUACCUUUGUCUGAUGAUGGUAACAACUCUGUUGCCAAAAUGUCACAGACAAUUUAUUAAUUUCGAUUUGGUCUGGUUACCUCAUGCAUCUAAUCUAUAAUCCAAAUUGUACCUUAUUCAACAACAACUUGGUUAUAACAUCAAGUUAUAUUCCCAAGUUUGUCCCUAUACUCCUUUUUUGAAAAUUAUAUUUGAAAAACCAAUCAAGUUCGCCCAUAGUGUAGUUUUAUCUUGCCUGUUGAAGGGCUUUUGCCCGAAAGCUUGCGUCGUCGAAAUAAUUAAAGAAACUUGUCUUCUUUCAUUUUGUUAAUCGCUACAUAACAUCAAGUAUUGAGUCCCAAUUGUUUUAACUAUAGCACAACAACAGUUUGUAUUUUCUCCAUUUGACAUUGUUAAGCCAGUAGAUGAGAAUCGUAACUCGAAAGCUCGCUUAUUUCACAUUAAAAAUAUAUGUAUUGUUAAUUUUUUAUUGAUUUUGAAUAACUUAUCUUUUAUCUUGUUUACACACUUGAUAACAGUUCUAUUUAAGAACAUGCUGUGAUAUUUUUUCUCAUAUUGGGGCUCAAAAAUCAUCUACUUUGUGGUUAGCAGCUCUGUAAAUAAAGAUAUUGUCAUUUGUUUUCUCAUUCAGUCUUUGUACCCUGGCAGAAACAUCUUUUUUUUUUUAGGCUUGAAAAUCAUAAACAUUGGUUAGUAGCCCUUAAAACCAUUUUCUCUCUUAUUUUUCUCAUUUAUUCUUUUGUCUGAUGAUGGUAACAAUGCUGUUACCGAUACAUCACACUAUUAAUUUAUUUGGAUUAGGUCUUAAUUUCUUGUAGCUAUAAUCCAAAUUAUACUUUAUCAAUUUUACCCAAUGAAAACAACAACAUGGUGCAAUAACAACAUAAAAUAAUGGUCCCAAGUGAUGAUAAGGCACAAUUUGGAUUAGGGAUUAUAAACACAAGGUAAUAAGACCAAACCAAAUAAAUAAAUAGUGUGUGACAUUUCAGUCAAGAUGGUAACAACACUGUUAUCAAAAUGUCACACACUAUUUAUUUAUUUGGAUUUGGUCUUAUUACCUUGGGUCCCAAGUGAUGUUGUUAUAGAGAGGUUCCAUUACAUCAAAUGAAACUUGAAUAAAUUACAGGAAAGUAUAAGGAAAUUUGAUGUCUCUAGAAACAACAUUGAAUUAUAGAGAAACAAUUGAAAAAUAAUUUCAACCUAAAAAUUAUACUCUGUAUAUAUUAGAUGGUGAGAAAAAGAUAUACUCAAGAUACAAUUUAAUACAAUUUAAAGAAGCCUAUUUCAUUAAGAAGAAAUGUGUGGCAAACAAUUAACAGAAUAGAAGAAACACAAAGUAAUAAGACCAAACCCAAAUAAAUAAAUAAUGUAUGACUUCAGUAACAUGAAACCUCACAAUGUAUUUAUUUAGAUUUGGUCUUAUUACCUUGUGUUUCUAAUCUAUAAUCCAAAUUGUACCUUAUCAGAAUGAAAAAAUAAAAAAAGGAAAUAUUAAUGACAUUUCCAGAUAUGCAUUAAAUUGCAUAUCUAUUUCUUUCUAUUCUACUAUUUACAAAUAAUCAUUUAUUUGUACUUCUAAUCAGUAGUCUUAUCAUUUUUUGUAAGUUUUGUUUACCCAACUGAUAACAGUAUCAAUUAUUUAAGAGCAUGCUGUGAUUACAUAAAAUCUCCCACGUGGUCUAGUGGCUAGGAUACCUGGUUCUCACCCAGGAGGCCUGGGUUUGAUUCCCGGUGUGGGAACUUUUUCCACUUUGGUUAGUAGCCCGUAAAACCAUAUUCUCUCUCUACAUAAAGAGAGAUUGUCUCAUUCAGUAAAUCUUGUAUUUUAAUUCAAAAUUUUUUUUUUUUUUUUGCUUAUCCCUAGUACACGUGGUACAGGUCAUGAUAAUCAUGGUGGGUAUGGGUAGGCGACUGCUUUUACUGUAAGUGCACCACAUGUUUACACAUGUGAAAAGCAGUUCGACUUUGUACUUACAAAUAUAAAAUGAAAGGAUUUAAAAGCACGGAUGUUUCUUUUAUACAUAAUACAAACUUCUACAAACUUUGGUUACUUGCGCUCGCUGGUGGGGCUGGAUUUUUGCAAGAAUCGGGGGCCAUUUAGGCAUUUUUUUUUUAUCAGAAAAAAAAGUGCCCAAUGCGAAAAUUGAACUUGGGUCGUAGUGGUCAAAAAGCAACAGUUUACACCAUCCUUCCACCGACCCCCUAUCAGUCUAUUUACUUUAGCCAACACCAAACUUUAAUUCAACCAAAAAUUCUGAUUCCCCUUGGGUUGUUACAUUAAAGAAGUUAGAAGAAUAGAGUAAAACCCCUCUAUAGUGAACCCCAAUGGGACAGAGCUUUUGGUUCACUAUAGCCACGGUUUGGCUAUUUUUUUUUACUUUUCAAAAAUUUUAGACCGUAUAAUUAAAAAACAGCCAUACACACAAGAAGAGGCUGCCUCUUAAUAGUGGUCACUUUAUUUUAAUUCCCUUAAUUGACUAAUUUCCUUAUAUUAAUACUGAAUAAUAAUAGAAAUCAUUAGAUAAUAGGUUCUUCUUAUGAUUAACAUACAUGUACCUCUAUGUCUAAGUUAAAAAUCAAGACAAAUCCUAGGCAAAGUUUUAUUAAAUAUAUAUUCAAAGAUAUGAAAUGAUUUUAAAACAUCAUUAUCACAUUAUAUAAUACAAUUUUUACUUGAAAAAAUGGCUCUAAUACCUUGUUGUUUCAAAGCAUUCUUCCAAGCAUUGCACCAUUCAAAUAAAGUUAGUGUUUUUCUUCCAUUUCAUGUUUCCCCAUAUUCUUCUAGGUCUAGAUUUCGUUUUUUUUUUUUUUUAACCUGCCAUGCAAAACAUUGCUGACUUUAAAAUCACCAUAGUUAAUGGCAUAAAAAUAUUUUUUGUUUCAUCACGGGACCGUUUAUUUGGACUUUUUUUUUUAACCCAAAACGUACGAUCGCGAUCGCGGCAAAAGUUGAGGUUGAUUCCUCUUUGUAACAAUUUUUAAUAACUUUAUAUUUUAUCUUUUAUAAUAGAAAAGUUAUAUUCUCUUAUUUUAAUAUGUUCUUAACAUUUUGCCUGUUUUGUUUCACUUUGAAAAGUUCUGAAAAUGGACUUUAUUUUUUAAAAAGAAAUAACGUUUUUGUUUUUAGAAUGCCUUUGUUUUCUUUGUUUUGGAAGCCAUUUGCAUUUUUUAUAUUUCAAAUUUAAUGGAGGCAAAGAUAUUCUAUUUAAUAAAAAGUAUAAUGUGUAAAAAUUUAUACAACAUACAGCAAAAAUAAAGUGCAAAAAUCAAACAAACAAUGCCGCUAAAUUUAUUGUUUUGAAAUCACGAUCCGCGAGCUGAAACAUGAUAAAAAUUUUGUUUUUAAUUUUUUUUUUUUAAUUACAAUUCUAAGUUCGUUAUAAGCAUAGUAUUUUUAAUAGAUUUUAUCAUUUUGGGACCCGAAAUAGGUUCGUUAUAGGGGUAGUUCGUUAUUCUAAAAAUCGCAAAGUUCGUUAUAACGAUGGUAUUUUCAAUGGAAUGGAAUUGGGAAUCGGCGUGGGUUCGUUAUAAGGGAAGGUUCGUUAUAUCCAGGGUUCGUAUUAGCGGGGUUUUACUGUAUAUAAUUUUUCAUCAAAAUCUUGCAAUCCCUAAAUUCUGAGAGAUCCCCACAACUUGUAUGAAGUUAUAUGAAAGAAAGUACAAGGUGGGAUCAGGUAGAUAAAUUAUAAAGAGAAAGGUAUCUUCUGAUCAUGCAUCAAAUAACAAGUUAUUGUAAUGGCCUUGUAUGAAAUUAGUCUGAGAUCCCAUCAGACCAAUAUUACGGGACUUGUAAGCUACAACAAAUAAGAUGGCUGACCAUUAAAAUCUGAUAAUGAAUUGCAACAGGUUUCAAUUCAAAAUGUUGACGUAAAUCUGUUCAUAUAUCUUCUCUUUCUUAUCUCCACUCAACAAUCAUAUAAGGGUAUCAAUGAGCCUGUAGAGCUUGUUGAUGGUGUCUGUGCUGGGGAUAAGUAGAGCUCCUCAAUGGAUGAGUCAAUACAGUCAAUGAUGAUAAGGUACAAUUUGGAUUAUAGAUUAUAAACACAAGGUAAUAAGACCAAAUCCAAAUAAAUAAAUAGUAUGUGAUGUUUUGCUAACAGCAUUGUUGUCAAAACAUCACACUAUUUAUUUAUUUGGAUUUGGUCUUAUUACCUUGAGUCAAUGAGGAAAAUUGCACUUAGUACAUAUUGGAAAAAUAUCAUAAAUAUUAGGGUAUAAACACAAGGUAAUAAAACCAAAUCCAAAUAAAUAAAUAGUGUGAUGUUUGUCAACAACGCUGUUACCAAAACAUCAUACACUAUUUAUUUAUUUGGAUUUGGUCUUAUUACCUUGUGUUUAUAAUCUACAAUCCAAAUUGUGCCUUAUCAUAAGGUAUAAAUAUAUUUUUUUAUCAAUGUUUUUAUACUCUAACCUAAGCUAACCCCCCCCCCCCCCCCAUGUCAUGGGGACCACUUGAAAACAUGGGGUUAGAUUUACCAACCUGCCAUGUGUAUGAUAAACUACAAAUGUCUCAAACAUAAUUGGCUGCCACUGAUGGAUGACAAUAUGAAACAUCAAUAAAAACAUUGAAACACACCACAUAUAUUGUAUAACUCCAUGUUAGGAGCAGCUGCACAUGGCGUCUGUUCCUCAUGUCAGAGGCGGCCAUUUCUUUUGGAGCUAAGUCGGCCUGCCACUGAGUAGUGCUCCCAGUCUUAAUGACAAAGGCAGACGCAUUCUACUUCACCCAGUGUGGAGAUAAGAAAGAAGAAGAAGACAUAUCGUAAACAAUGUGCUGAGGACCUUUGGGAAAGGCCGCUGCUUAUCAUAAAACAGCUCGAGGAGCAUGAACUUAUGGAAUUCGUAUAAUCUUUACACAAGAGGAUAAUAAACAGCAACAACACAAUAUGCUGAGGGUUAUAAAAAGAUUAACAAUUCCUUUUAUUUAUAUUUAAUAAAACUUAUAAAGAUGAAAAAAAUAUAGACUUAUUUUUUUAUAAAAGUUAAAUAUUAAUAAGAAUUGAUAAUAUAUUCGGCUGUUAAUUAUUGCUCGGUUUCAUAUAUAUUUAAACAAUUUAUAAACACUAUAUAAUUAAACAUGAAGUAGAUGGAGAUGUAAUUUACUAAUUUAUAUUUGAAACCAAAUGUGUUUUAUUGUGAUCAAAUAUUGUAAUAAUAUAAUUUAAAAAGCAAUAAAUAUAAUAAAAUUGCUUUAAAAUAUAUGACAUUUUAGAAUAUAUUCAUUUAAAUAAGGUAUAAAUGCAAACUGUCAAAUUUCAUAUCACCUGUGUUUUAAAAAAUGAAAAUAUGUUUGAGAACAAUUAAAUGUGUUUUAUUUUAUUUUAAAAUGUAUAAACAUUUAUUAUUGAUACUGUCAAUGGAAUGUUAAUAUUAUUUUCUUAAUUUAUGAAUUAAAACUAUCAGUUGACAUUUUAUUUUAAUGACAGCUAGUAACAACUAAUCAAUUCAACUGUAGACACCAAUUUAUCAAAUUAAAAGUCCUAAUAAAGAGUUAUUAAAUUAAAUUCAUGUAUUUUAAUCGCUUUUCAAAUCCAAACGACGAGAAGUCGUCUGUUGACAUACAUGUCAUUUAUGGAUUUUUCAUCAUGGUUGCGUCGAAGAGCAUCGUUUAAUCGAUAUUUCACUCCAAUUGUGUUUUAUCUACAUGUGUGCCUUCUUAAAUUGCAUCUAGAUAUAGUCGUGCCAUGAUUUCUCUUUAAAUGUCAAAAGAAAAAUCUGCAUAAAGCUACUGCUUUAUGAGAGUACACAUUAAGCAGAGUUCAAUGGAAUUAUUCACUAUAUGUUACAAAAUGCAUUAAAUAUAUAUGAUAAUAUGCAUAAAUACCUGGUAUUUAUAGAAAAAAAAUACAAAAAUCCAAUCUAUUUUUUAAAAAGAGAGCUUGGUGCAUCGCAAAGUUUUCUU
This 8568-nucleotide transfer RNA is filed under the name Cordylochernes scorpioides. The stretch from base 4335 to 4406 matches the Rfam family "tRNA". Lineage: Eukaryota; Metazoa; Arthropoda; Arachnida; Pseudoscorpiones; Chernetidae. The record is from RNAcentral.